CCUGACCCAGAAGGAGCCUCUGCCGGCUUAUCCAGCCGCUUCACAGCCUAUUAGACACGGUCACGAUGGGCAGACGGACACUGAUGAUGAAGAGCAGCCAAUCCUGAUGACGCUUAAAGACUUAUUAUAACUGGGCGUGGCCUUUAUGUAAAAACGCCAAUGAUGCAGCAACGGCUACGAUUACAGUGAGGAGAUGGGAAUGGGAAUGGGAAUGGGAAUGCUCUGUGCACGGUGAGGUGUUGCACAGCAGGGCUGCAUGUUUGCAUGCGGAGCAGGAGGUCAAGAACAGUCCCAUCAGCUGUGAUCUUCCAAUAGAAACACAGGGUGGAGGCAGAGACGUACGUCCAGCGCUACAGAGCCAACGACUUUGAUGUGAGAUCAGAGACACCCGAACAGAAGAGGAGAGGUGAAUGUCGGAAAAACGAGCUUGGUGUCUGUUUACGGUGAAAGUCAGUGCCUUCCUGUCAGUUUGCUUGGUGGAACCUUCACUCUGACAGCUUCUCUACUCUUCUCUCUUCCUCUGAGCACAUCUGAAAACCUGAUACGCCCUUAAAGACGCUGAAUUUGGUCAGUUGGUGGGUCAUUGGCUGAGUUGAGGAGGCAUUAAUUAGAGUAGUCUAUUAACAUUUCAUAAAAGCUCAGAAGACAUUUAGCUCAAAAGGUUUACUGUUUGUUUUAGGUAGUAAUGAAAGGUCUAUAUGUCUACUGUGGACACUGUGACCUCCGGUUCCCAUCACCAUCACUGUAAAGACUGAUAAAUUUCAGUGAACCAUCCCUGCUGAAAAAACAGCACAGACCAACAUGAAGUCCGUCUGAGAUGAUCUAUGCUGGUUUACGCUGGUCUGAUGCUGGUCUAACUGGUCACCCUGCAUGGUCAUGCUGAUUGACCAGCAUAUCAGCAUCCAAAACAAAUGUGCUGGUUUUGAUGACGAUCAUCAUAUGAAGUGAACACAGCAUGUGUUGGUUUUGGUGAUGACCAGGAAUGCUGGUUUCUACAAAACCCAGUCCAUCUUGGG
Long non-coding RNA from Pygocentrus nattereri (red-bellied piranha), 1016 nucleotides. RefSeq lists it as uncharacterized. The transcript has 3 exons. NCBI's taxonomy places the organism in Eukaryota, Metazoa, Chordata, Actinopteri, Characiformes, Serrasalmidae. The record is from RefSeq and is a predicted model, not a curated record.